UACGUAGGGUGCAAGCGUUGUCCGGAAUUAUUGGGCGUAAAGAGCUCGUAGGCGGCUCGGUAAGUCAGGUGUCAAAUCCUCAGGCUCAACCUGGGGCUCCACCUGAUACUGCUGUGGCUAGAGUCCGGUAGGGGAGCGUGGAAUUCCUGGUGUAGCGGUGAAAUGCGCAGAUAUCAGGAGGAACACCGGUGGCGAAGGCGGUUCUCUGGGCAUUACCUGACGCUGAGGAGCGAAAGCGUGGGGAGCGAACAGG
RNAcentral lists this ribosomal RNA (253 nucleotides) under uncultured bacterium. Its description in RNAcentral is "partial 16S ribosomal RNA". It matches the Rfam family "Bacterial small subunit ribosomal RNA", at positions 524 to 776 of the family's 1533-position model. The record is from RNAcentral.